This is a long non-coding RNA of Lemur catta (Ring-tailed lemur), 627 nucleotides long. RefSeq lists it as uncharacterized. The record is from RefSeq and is a predicted model, not a curated record. Lineage: Eukaryota; Metazoa; Chordata; Mammalia; Primates; Lemuridae. The transcript has 6 exons.
GGGCUGCUCCUCUGCUCAGAAGUGUCAGGGAUUUGUAAAUAUUUCAUAAACGGGACCCCCUUUAGACCCGAUCCUCCCAGGUGAUUUGCUCUUGAACAAUUAACAGACUGAAGGCUGUGUUCCAUCUCCUCGCAGGCUCCCGCCAGGCACCCUUGGGAGCACAGGAGGAGAAAGGCUUUUUUCUUGAUCCGAUUACUGCUGCCCAGCGUUGAGAAGGAUUAAUUAACCCACCAGGUUUUGCUUCAUUACCAGGAAGAAAGAAAAGCCAGCGAUGGCUAGAUGAGCAUUUACAAAAUUGUAUUUCCUGGAACAAUGGUCCCAUGAGCUGCUCUGUGACAAUGUGUCUUGUCAUUCCUCGGCCGAGAGCGCACCAAGAACCGAGAACUAGAUGGCUGACCUGACAGACCCGACGGUUGGAAAAGAGGAGACCAGGAGCUGAGAGACAGGACACCAGUCAUAUUGGAUGAAGGGCCCACCCCACUCCGACAUGACCUCAUCUUAACUAAUGACAUCUGCAACGACCCUAUUUCCAAAUAAGGUCAUGCCCUGAGAUGCUGUAAGAUGGUGUCUCACUCAGUUGCCAAGGGCUGUAGUGCAGUGUCUUGAUCAUAGCUCACUGGAACCUUG